UGGCCUACCAAGGCGGCGACGGGUAGCCGGCCUGAGAGGGUGACCGGCCACAUUGGGACUGAGAUACGGCCCAGACUCCUACGGGAGGCAGCAGUGGGGAAUAUUGCACAAUGGGCGCAAGCCUGAUGCAGCAACGCCGCGUGCGGGAUGACGGCCUUCGGGUUGUAAACCGCUUUCAGCAGGGACGAAGCUUUUUGUGACGGUACCUGCAGAAGAAGCACCGGCUAACUACGUGCCAGCAGCCGCGGUGAUACGUAGGGUGCGAGCGUUGUCCGGAUUUAUUGGGCGUAAAGGGCUCGUAGGCGGUUGAUCGCGUCGGAAGUGGAAACUUGAUGCUUAACGUUGAGCGUGCUUUCGAUACGGGUUGACUUGAGGAAGGUAGGGGAGAAUGGAAUUCCUGGUGGAGCGGUGGAAUGCGCAGAUAUCAGGAGGAACACCAGUGGCGAAGGCGGUUCUCUGGACCUUUCCUGACGCUGAGGAGCGAAAGCGUGGGGAGCGAACAGGCUUAGAUACCCUGGUAGUCCACGCUGUAAACGGUGGGUACUAGGUGUGGGGUCCAUUCCACGGAUUCUGUGCCGUAGCUAACGCAUUAAGUACCCCGCCUGGGGAGUACGGCCGCAAGGCUAAAACUCAAAGGAAUUGACGGGGCCCCGCACAA
This 658-nucleotide ribosomal RNA is filed under the name 'Opuntia ficus-indica' phytoplasma. RNAcentral describes it as "bacterial SSU rRNA". It matches the Rfam family "Bacterial small subunit ribosomal RNA", at positions 261 to 928 of the family's 1533-position model. Lineage: Bacteria; Bacillati; Mycoplasmatota; Mollicutes; Acholeplasmatales; Acholeplasmataceae. The record is from RNAcentral.